CCGGCAACCGGCGCACGGGUGAGUAACACGUAUGCAACCUGCCCGUCUCAGGGGGAUAAUCGUCGGAAACGGCGUCUAAUACCCCGUAUGAAGCUGGACGGCAUCGUCUGGUUUUGAAAGAAUAUCGGAGACGGAUGGGCAUGCGGCGCAUUAGCUAGUUGGCGGGGUAACGGCCUACCAAGGCGACGAUGCGUAGGGGUUCUGAGAGGAAGGUCCCCCACACUGGUACUGAGACACGGACCAGACUCCUACGGAAGGCAGCAG
RNAcentral lists this ribosomal RNA (264 nucleotides) under uncultured bacterium. Its description in RNAcentral is "partial 16S ribosomal RNA". It matches the Rfam family "Bacterial small subunit ribosomal RNA", at positions 88 to 354 of the family's 1533-position model. The record is from RNAcentral.